GUUUUACAGCAAUAUCUCACCAAGCUCAGCGAACGCACCGUGGCUUAUAUCAACGUGGAUGUUGCCGUUCAAGGCAACGCUUCUCUCCAAGCAUCAGGAAUGCCAUCGCUACAGAACGUCGUCUUCAAAGCCGCCAAGCAGGUCAAGGCUCCUGGAGUGGAUUCCAUGUCUGUGUAUGACAAGUGGAUCCGCUAUGCGAAUAGAACAAGCCCGGUCUACGGACUCAUUCCCAGGUGUUGC
Long non-coding RNA from Hippocampus comes (tiger tail seahorse), 240 nucleotides. RefSeq lists it as uncharacterized. NCBI's taxonomy places the organism in Eukaryota, Metazoa, Chordata, Actinopteri, Syngnathiformes, Syngnathidae. The transcript has 3 exons. The record is from RefSeq and is a predicted model, not a curated record.